AUGGCAGCUACUUUAUCCGAAGCCGGUUUUUUUCUUGGAUUCGACGAUUCAAAUGUCGCUUAUUACAUUACAAACCAGAGCGGCAAAAAUGCACGCAGUUGGAUUCGAACAAAAAACAGAAAGUUCAAUCACAAUAGUGAGGGUGGGGAUUGGCUCGCCGCAUCAAGGACACAUGCCGGUAACUCAGCUGCUGCCCCUGAUACCUGGCGGCGGACGGGCCGGGCGGGCGGCGACUACUUGUUCUUGUGCGCCUGGACGAACUUGGAGUUCUUGAGGUCCUCCUCGGUGAAGCCGGCGGUCAUCUUGGUGAUGAGGGUCCCCGUGACGGCGAAGCCGGCGAGGAAGGGCCAGGUGCGGCCCCACUCCCGGCGGAAGAACACCGGCCACGGGUCGAACGCCGAGAAGAACUUCAUCUCCGGUGGCUUUGAUCUCGACCUCCGCCUUGGAUUGGAUUGGAUUGGAUUCGAGUCCGCCAAGAUCUGA
Molecule: ribosomal RNA, 483 nt
Filed under: Triticum aestivum (bread wheat)
Lineage: Eukaryota; Viridiplantae; Streptophyta; Magnoliopsida; Poales; Poaceae
Description: partial small subunit ribosomal RNA
Source: RNAcentral